Molecule: microRNA precursor, 142 nt
Filed under: Oryza brachyantha (malo sina)
Lineage: Eukaryota; Viridiplantae; Streptophyta; Magnoliopsida; Poales; Poaceae
Description: MIR812 microRNA precursor family
Rfam family: MIR812 microRNA precursor family
Source: Rfam by way of RNAcentral
GUUUGACUUUUCGUCUUAUUUUAAUUUUUUUGCAAUUAACAUUUUUAUUGUUAUUAGAUGAUAAAACAUAAAUAAUAAUUUACGCGUAACUAAUUUUUUGAGUUUUUUUAAUAAAUUUUUCAAAUAAGAUGGAUAGUAAAAC